CCCGGUUACAUUCCGAACCCGGAAGCUAAGCCCUCCAGCGCCGAUGGUACUGCACUCGUGAGGGUGUGGGAGAGUAGGACACCGCCGGAC
Micromonospora sp. NRRL B-16802 is the source of this 90-nucleotide non-coding RNA. The record is from Rfam. Lineage: Bacteria; Bacillati; Actinomycetota; Actinomycetes; Micromonosporales; Micromonosporaceae.